UACGAACGCUGUCGGCGUUCCUAAUACAUGCAAGUCCAACGCAGUUGCGAACUGGUGAGUAACCCGUAUGUAACUGCCUCAUAGCGGGGGAUAACUAUUGGAAACGAUAGCUAAUACCGCAUCCUGUUAGAUGUACCUUCGUUGUAUUAUCUAGUUGGUGGGGUAAAGGCUCACCAAGGCGACGAUACAUAGCCGACCUGGGAGGGAGAACGGCUAAAAGGGGACUGUGACACGGCCCAGACUGCUACGGGAGGGAGCAGUAGGGAAUCUGCGGAAAUGGAGGAAAGUCUGACCGAGCAACGCCGCGUGAGUGGAGAAGGUGUUCGGAUAGUAAAGCUCUGUUGUUAGAGAAGCGGUAACUAACCAGAAAGGGACGGCUAACUACGUGCCAGCAGCCGCGGUAAUUC
RNAcentral lists this ribosomal RNA (407 nucleotides) under uncultured bacterium. RNAcentral describes it as "partial 16S ribosomal RNA". It matches the Rfam family "Bacterial small subunit ribosomal RNA", at positions 29 to 526 of the family's 1533-position model. The record is from RNAcentral.